Molecule: ribosomal RNA, 271 nt
Filed under: uncultured archaeon
Lineage: Archaea
Description: partial 16S ribosomal RNA
Rfam family: Archaeal small subunit ribosomal RNA
Source: RNAcentral
AUUAGAUACCCGGGUAGUCCUAGCCGUAAACGAUACUCGCUAGGUGUCGGCCACGGUGCGACCGUUGUCGGCGCCGUAGGGAAGCCGUGAAGCGAGCCACCUGGGAAGUACGGCCGCAAGGCUGAAACUUAAAGGAAUUGGCGGGGGAGCACCACAACGGGUGGAGCUUGCGGUUUAAUUGGAUUCAACGCCGGAAAUCUUACCGGGACCGACAGCAAUAUGAAGGCCAGGCUGAAGACUUUGCCGGAUUAGCUGAGAGGUGGUGCAUGGC